This 236-nucleotide ribosomal RNA is filed under the name uncultured Staphylococcus sp. RNAcentral's name for it is "partial 16S ribosomal RNA". It matches the Rfam family "Bacterial small subunit ribosomal RNA", at positions 104 to 334 of the family's 1533-position model. Lineage: Bacteria; Bacillati; Bacillota; Bacilli; Caryophanales; Staphylococcaceae. The record is from RNAcentral.
GGGUGAGUAACACGUGGAUAACCUACCUAUAAGACUGGGAUAACUUCGGGAAACCGGAGCUAAUACCGGAUAAUAUUUUGAACCGCAUGGUUCAAAAGUGAAAGACGGUCUUGCUGUCACUUAUAGAUGGAUCCGCGCUGCAUUAGCUAGUUUGUAAGGUAACGGCUUACCAAGGCAACGAUGCAUAGCCGACCUGAGAGGGUGAUCGGCCACACUGGAACUGAGACACGGUCCAG